CAGUCGCCGCGGUAAUACGUAGGUCCCGAGCGUUGUCCGGAUUUAUUGGGCGUAAAGCGAGCGCAGGCGGUUAGAUAAGUCUGAAGUUAAAGGCUGUGGCUUAACCAUAGUACGCUUUGGAAACUGUUUAACUUGAGUACAAGAGGGGAGAGUGGAAUUCCAUGUGUAGCGGUGAAAUGCGUAGAUAUAUGGAGGAACACCGGUGGCGAAAGCGGCUCUCUGGCUUGUAACUGACGCUGAGGCUCGAAAGCGUGGGGAGCAAACAGGAUUAGAUACCCCAGUAGUCCCUGUCUCUUAUACC
Molecule: ribosomal RNA, 301 nt
Filed under: uncultured bacterium
Lineage: Bacteria
Description: partial 16S ribosomal RNA
Rfam family: Bacterial small subunit ribosomal RNA
Source: RNAcentral